GCUGCAGAAAAGCUGCUCGGCAACAAAUCUUCAUGAAAGCAGGACUGAUCGUUAUGAGCAAGGACGAAGUGUGGACAGAGAAUUAAGGAGGCACUAACUGAAUUUGAGCCUGCUGAACAUACCUUCAACUUUAAAUUACCAUCCUAGAACUGAUCCAUCCACUCUAAGAGUAAUGAGUGCCACUUACUGUUGAGAAGAGAUGGGGUCCACCUAACCAAGAAGGGGAAGAGCAUCUUCAUGCACCCACUUGCCAACCUCAGUGAGGAAGGCUUUAAAGGAGAGGGAGGACCUAAGAACCUUAACCCUGUGGUAAAAGUGAAGUUAAAGGGGCCAGGAAGGAAGAUGCCCAGGGAAGCAGCAGCAACAAAUUGAAUCAAGCAGUAUGUGGCCACAGUUCAUAGGGUUCCUGGGUUGGAAACUGGAGUA
This is a long non-coding RNA of Chelonia mydas (Green sea turtle), 426 nucleotides long. RefSeq lists it as uncharacterized. Lineage: Eukaryota; Metazoa; Chordata; Testudines; Cheloniidae. The transcript has 3 exons. The record is from RefSeq and is a predicted model, not a curated record.